Molecule: long non-coding RNA, 333 nt
Filed under: Musa acuminata (dwarf banana)
Lineage: Eukaryota; Viridiplantae; Streptophyta; Magnoliopsida; Zingiberales; Musaceae
Description: long non-coding RNA (MACU_LNC005517)
Source: RNAcentral
GGGGGAGGAGCAGGGAGAGUGGGCGAGAAAAAAUUGAGGCGGAGGAAAGAGGCCAUGUCUUCCGCUGUUUCUCCACCCGUUCCAACCACCGUCGAGGGCGGCGCACCUCUCUGCUCCUCUACCUCCACCUGUCGGCCCGUGAUCUACUGGUGCCACGAGUGCGACAUGAGCGUUACCCUCCUCCCCUCCCACCCACCUCUCAUCUGCCCCGAUUGCUCCCGCUCCGACUUCCUCGAAGAAAUGGAACUACUCCAACCCCCCACCGACCAUCAGUCGUCCUCCUCUGCCGCCGCCGACGUCGCUCCCCCUCCCCAAUCCCUGCCCCUCGUCCUC